UCCUCGGUAGUAUAGUGGUGAGUAUCUCCGCCUCUCAGGUGGAAGGCCCGUGUCCGAUUCCCGGCCGAGGAG
RNAcentral lists this transfer RNA (72 nucleotides) under Paragonimus heterotremus. Its description in RNAcentral is "tRNA-Glu". Lineage: Eukaryota; Metazoa; Platyhelminthes; Trematoda; Plagiorchiida; Troglotrematidae. The record is from RNAcentral.